Molecule: microRNA precursor, 89 nt
Organism: Cercocebus atys (sooty mangabey)
Lineage: Eukaryota; Metazoa; Chordata; Mammalia; Primates; Cercopithecidae
Source: Ensembl
AUGGCUCUAAGAAGGACACUGGUGUCAACGGCUGAGCCCUUUGAUAAGGGGGAAGUUUGGAAGACUCUUAUGUCCUGGAUUGGGAAAUG